AUUGAACGCUGGCGGCAUGCUUUACACAUGCAAGUCGAACGGUAACAGGCCGCAAGGUGCUGACGAGUGGCGAGCGGGUGAGUAAUGCAUCGGAACGUACCCGAUCGUGGGGGAUAACGAAGCGAAAGCUUUGCUAAUACCGCAUAAGAUCUACGGAUGAAAGCAGGGGACCGCAAGGCCUUGCGCGAACGGAGCGGCCGAUGGCAGAUUAGGUAGUUGGUGGGAUAAAAGCUUACCAAGCCGACGAUCUGUAGCUGGUCUGAGAGGACGACCAGCCACACUGGGACUGAGACACGGCCCAGACUCCUACGGGAGGCAGCAGUGGGGAAUUUUGGACAAUGGGCGAAAGCCUGAUCCAGCCAUGCCGCGUGCAGGAUGAAGGCCUUCGGGUUGUAAACUGCUUUUGUACGGAACGAAAAGACUCUUUCUAAUAAAGAGGGUCCAUGACGGUACCGUAAGAAUAAGCACCGGCUAACUACGUGCCAGCCGCCGCGGUAA
This 498-nucleotide ribosomal RNA is filed under the name uncultured bacterium. RNAcentral describes it as "partial 16S ribosomal RNA". It matches the Rfam family "Bacterial small subunit ribosomal RNA", at positions 30 to 523 of the family's 1533-position model. The record is from RNAcentral.